AGUAACGCGUGGGUAACCUGCCCUUAAGUCUGGGAUACCAUUUGGAAACAGAUGCUAAUACCGGAUAAAAGCUACUUUCGCAUGAAAGAAGUUUAAAAGGCGGCGUAAGCUGUCGCUAAAGGAUGGACCUGCGAUGCAUUAGCUAGUUGGUAAGGUAACGGCUUACCAAGGCGAUGAUGCAUAGCCGAGUUGAGAGACUGAUCGGCCACAUUGGGACUGAGACACGGCCCAAACUCCUACGGGAGGCAGCAGC
Molecule: ribosomal RNA, 253 nt
Filed under: uncultured Lactobacillus sp.
Lineage: Bacteria; Bacillati; Bacillota; Bacilli; Lactobacillales; Lactobacillaceae
Description: partial 16S ribosomal RNA
Rfam family: Bacterial small subunit ribosomal RNA
Source: RNAcentral